ACAUGCCUAUAGCAUAGAGUUAAUGCAUCAGAUCCCAUUAGAACUCUGAAGUUAAGCGCACUCAGGCUAGAGUAGUACUGGGAUGGGAGACCGCCUGGGAAGUCCUAGUGUUUUACAUGCC
Molecule: non-coding RNA, 121 nt
Organism: Picea glauca (white spruce)
Lineage: Eukaryota; Viridiplantae; Streptophyta; Pinopsida; Pinales; Pinaceae
Source: Rfam